This 505-nucleotide ribosomal RNA is filed under the name uncultured bacterium. Its description in RNAcentral is "partial 16S ribosomal RNA". It matches the Rfam family "Bacterial small subunit ribosomal RNA", at positions 28 to 507 of the family's 1533-position model. The record is from RNAcentral.
GACGAACGCUGGCGGCGUGCCUAAUACAUGCAAGUAGAACGCACAGUUUAUACCGUAGCUUGCUACACCAUAGACUGUGAGUUGCGAACGGGUGAGUAACGCGUAGGUAACCUGCCUGGUAGCGGGGGAUAACUAUUGGAAACGAUAGCUAAUACCGCAUAAUAUUGAUUAUUGCAUGAUAAUUGAUUGAAAGAUUCUAUUUCAUCACUACCAGAUGGACCUGCGUUGUAUUAGCUAGUAGGUGAGGUAACGGCUCACCUAGGCGACGAUACAUAGCCGACCUGAGAGGGUGAUCGGCCACACUGGGACUGAGACACGGCCCAGACUCCUGCGGGAGGCAGCAGUAGGGAAUCUUCGGCAAUGGACGAAAGUCUGACCGAGCAACGCCGCGUGAGUGAAGGAGGUUUUCGGAUCGUAAAGCUCUGUUGUAAGAGAAGAACGGGUGUGAGAGUGGAAAGUUCACACUGUGACGGUAUCUUACCAGAAAGGGACGGCUAACUACGUG